AUCGACCGCUGGCGGCAGGCCUAACACAUGCAAGUCGAACGAGUGGCGGACGGGUGAGUAAUGCCUAGGAAACUGCCCUCUGAAAGGGGAUAACUACUGGAAACGGUAUCUCAUAACCCAUACCAUCGGAUUUGCCCAGAUGGGAUUAGCUAGUAGGCGGGGUAACGGCUAACCUAGGCGACGAUCCCUAGCUGUUCUGAGAGGAUGAACGGCCACACUGGAACUGAAGCACGGUCCAGACUCCUACGGGAGGCAGCAGUGGGGAAUAUUGCACAAUGGGCGCAAGUCUGAUGAAGCCAUGCCGCGUGUAUGAAGAAGGCCUUCGGGUUGUAAAGUACUUUCAGCGAGGAGGAGUUACUCGCAGAAGAAGGACCGGGUAACUCAGUGCCAGGCGCCGCGGUAAUUC
RNAcentral lists this ribosomal RNA (406 nucleotides) under uncultured bacterium. RNAcentral describes it as "partial 16S ribosomal RNA". It matches the Rfam family "Bacterial small subunit ribosomal RNA", at positions 30 to 526 of the family's 1533-position model. The record is from RNAcentral.